GUGGGGAAUAUUGGACAAUGGGCGAAAGCCUGAUCCAGCCAUGCCGCGUGUGUGAAGAAGGUCUUCGGAUUGUAAAGCACUUUAAGUUGGGAGGAAGGGCAGUAAGUUAAUACCUUGCUGUUUUGACGUUACCGACAGAAUAAGCACCGGCUAACUUCGUGCCAGCAGCCGCGGUAAUACGAAGGGUGCAAGCGUUAAUCGGAAUUACUGGGCGUAAAGCGCGCGUAGGUGGUUGUGUAAGUUGGAGGUGAAAUCCCCGGGCUCAACCUGGGAACUGCCUCCAAAACUGCAUGACUAGAGUACGGUAGAGGGUAGUAGAAUUUCCUGUGUAGCGGUGAAAUGCGUAGAUAUAGGAAGGAACACCAGUGGCGAAGGCGACUACCUGGACUGAUACUGACACUGAGGUGCGAAAGCGUGGGGAGCAAACAGGAUUAGAAACCCGUGUAGUCC
This 450-nucleotide ribosomal RNA is filed under the name uncultured bacterium. Its description in RNAcentral is "partial 16S ribosomal RNA". It matches the Rfam family "Bacterial small subunit ribosomal RNA", at positions 354 to 796 of the family's 1533-position model. The record is from RNAcentral.